UACGUAGGGGGCAAGCGUUAUCCGGAUUUACUGGGUGUAAAGGGAGCGCAGGCGGCGCGUUAAGUCUGAUGUGAAAACCCGCGGCUCAACUGCGGGACUGCAUUUGAAACUGUCAGUCUUGAGUACCGGAGAGGUCAUCGGAAUUCCUUGUGUAGCGGUGAAAUGCGUAGAUAUAAGGAAGAACACCAGUGGCGAAGGCGGAUGACUGGACGGCAACUGACGGUGAGGCGCGAAAGCGUGGGGAGCAAACAGG
RNAcentral lists this ribosomal RNA (253 nucleotides) under uncultured Oscillospira sp. RNAcentral's name for it is "partial 16S ribosomal RNA". It matches the Rfam family "Bacterial small subunit ribosomal RNA", at positions 524 to 776 of the family's 1533-position model. The record is from RNAcentral. Lineage: Bacteria; Bacillati; Bacillota; Clostridia; Eubacteriales; Oscillospiraceae.